GGACCCGCACAAGCAGUGGAGCAUGUGGUUUAAUUCGAUGCAACGCGAAGAACCUUACCAGGGUUUGACAUCCUGCGAAUCUCUUGGAAACAGGAGAGUGCCUUCGGGAACGCAGUGACAGGUGGUGCAUGGCUGUCGUCAGCUCGUGUCGUGAGAUGUUGGGUUAAGUCCCGCAACGAGCGCAACCCACGUCUUUAGUUGCCAGCAUUUAGUUGGGCACUCUAGAGAGACUGCCGGUGAUAAACCGGAGGAAGGUGUGGAUGACGUCAAGUCAUCAUGCCCCUUACAUCCUGGGCUACACACGUACUACAAUGCUACGGACAAAGGGCAGCAAGUUCGCGAGGACAAGCAAAUCCCAUAAACCGUGGCUCAGUUCAGAUCGUAGGCUGCAACUCGCCUACGUGAAGGCGGAAUC
Molecule: ribosomal RNA, 415 nt
Filed under: uncultured bacterium
Lineage: Bacteria
Description: bacterial SSU rRNA
Rfam family: Bacterial small subunit ribosomal RNA
Source: RNAcentral